This 668-nucleotide ribosomal RNA is filed under the name Bacillus licheniformis. RNAcentral describes it as "bacterial SSU rRNA". It matches the Rfam family "Bacterial small subunit ribosomal RNA", at positions 40 to 688 of the family's 1533-position model. Lineage: Bacteria; Bacillati; Bacillota; Bacilli; Caryophanales; Bacillaceae. The record is from RNAcentral.
CGUGCCCCCGGUCUAUCAUGCAAGUCGAGCGGACAGAUGGGAGCUUGCUCCCUGAUGUUAGCGGCGGACGGGUGAGUUUAGAGGGUAACCUGCCUGUAAGACUGGGAUAACUCCGGGAAACCGGGGCUAAAACCGGAUGGUUGUCUGAACCGCAUGGUUCAGACAUAAAAGGUGGCUUCGGCUACCACUUACAGAUGGACCCGCGGCGCAUUAGCUAGUUGGUGAGGUAACGGCUCACCAAGGCGACGAUGCGUAGCCGACCUGAGAGGGUGAUCGGCCACACUGGGACUGAGACACGGCCCAGACUCCUACGGGAGGCAGCAGUAGGGAAUCUUCCGCAAUGGACGAAAGUCUGACGGAGCAACGCCGCGUGAGUGAUGAAGGUUUUCGGAUCGUAAAGCUCUGUUGUUAGGGAAGAACAAGUGCCGUUCAAAUAGGGCGGCACCUUGACGGACCAACCAGAAAGCCACGGCUAACUACGUGCCAGCAGCCGCGGUAAUACUUAGGUGGCAAGCGUUGUCCGCCCAUUCUUGGGCGUAAAGGGCUCGCAGGCGGUUUCUUAAGUCUGAUGUGAAAGCCCCUGGCUCGACCGGGGGAGGGUCAUUGGAUACUGGGGGAAUUUGAGGUGCGAAAGAGGAGAGUGGAAUUCCACUUGUAGCGGAGAAAUG